RNAcentral lists this ribosomal RNA (163 nucleotides) under uncultured bacterium. RNAcentral's name for it is "partial 16S ribosomal RNA". It matches the Rfam family "Bacterial small subunit ribosomal RNA", at positions 1340 to 1500 of the family's 1533-position model. The record is from RNAcentral.
AAUGGCAGGUCAGCAUACUGCCGUGAAUACGUUCCCGGGCCCGUUGUACACACCGCCCGUCCACACCAUGAGAGUUGGAAAUACCCGAAGCCUGUGAGCUAACUUAAAGAGGCAGCAGUCGAAGGUAGAGCCAAUGAUUGGGGUGAAGUCGUAACAAGGUACC